UACAGAGGGUGCAAGCGUUAAUCGGAAUUACUGGGCGUAAAGCGCGCGUAGGUGGUUUGUUAAGUUGGAUGUGAAAGCCCCGGGCUCAACCUGGGAACUGCAUUCAAAACUGACAAGCUAGAGUAUGGUAGAGGGUGGUGGAAUUCCACGUGUAGCGGUGAAAUGCGUAGAGAUGUGGAGGAACACCGAUGGCGAAGGCAGCCUUCUGGGCCAACACUGACGCUCAUGCACGAAAGCGUGGGGAGCAAACAGG
Molecule: ribosomal RNA, 253 nt
Filed under: uncultured prokaryote
Description: partial 16S ribosomal RNA
Rfam family: Bacterial small subunit ribosomal RNA
Source: RNAcentral